GCCGAUGUAGCUCAAUGGUAGAGCAACAGUUUUGUAAACUGUAGGUUGUCGGUUCGAGUCCGACCAUCGGCU
RNAcentral lists this transfer RNA (72 nucleotides) under Candidatus Ryanbacteria bacterium RIFCSPLOWO2_02_FULL_45_11c. RNAcentral describes it as "tRNA-Thr". It matches the Rfam family "tRNA". From Rfam's summary of the family: Transfer RNA (tRNA) molecules are approximately 80 nucleotides in length. Their secondary structure includes four short double-helical elements and three loops (D, anti-codon, and T loops). The record is from RNAcentral. Lineage: Bacteria; Candidatus Ryaniibacteriota.